Vicugna pacos (alpaca) is the source of this 942-nucleotide non-coding RNA. NCBI's taxonomy places the organism in Eukaryota, Metazoa, Chordata, Mammalia, Artiodactyla, Camelidae. The record is from RefSeq and is a predicted model, not a curated record.
UUCACUCAGUUAUGAUGAGAUUGAGUCCUACUUACAACAUCUUAGGCCUCAGUAAACGUCAGAGAGAGAAUCCUUUUCUGCCUCCCUGCAUGAGCCCAGAGUACUCUGUAGGAGACCCAGAAAACAUGAAUAAAUGGCAUUUCCGGGAAGGCAUUUCCCUAUCGCAUUCUCCACAUUCAGAAAAGAUAAAACCAGCUAGGCACUUCCCCAGGCUCUUCAGGCUUGGAAGCAGAGCUGCAAGUGACAGCCAAAAUGUUCUCCACAGCCAAAAGCUGCAGACAAGAAGCUGCCUUCCCCCUCCCUUGGACUGCUGGGAUGUAGGAGGCAAGAGAGUGUGGUCCCAGAUACGAAUGAUAAAUAACUCAGUGAAAGAGGUGUCUAAUUAUGGUGGCACAGAUAGAGGGAUAAUAGUUAUUGGGAUUUUUUUUUCCUCUUUGGGAUUUUAAGAAUUGGACAUUACUUACUUUUUAUCUCCCUUUGGUAAGUUUUAAUUAAAAAAAAAAAUCCUUUUCUCUGAAUGGCCUGAAAACAUUUGAUUUUCUUCCAGACAUUUUAUUGAAGCAAUUUCCUGCUUCAUUUUUUAAAAAUGUAAAAUGUGGGAUGGGGAUAAAGAAAGAUCUACCUGACUCUAGGACAAAUAAUACUUUUAUAUAAGGCCCACUCUAAAGUAUCCCAAGAAGGGAGGAGGGUAUAGCUCAGUGGUAAAGCAUAUGCUUAACAUGCAAGAGGACCUAGGUUCAAUUCCCAGUACCUCCACUAAAUAAAAAAAUAAAUAGAUAAACCUAAUUACCUCCCUUCGCCCACCAAAAGAAAUUAUUUAACAUGCUUGUUUACUGAGGAAGCAUUGGUAGUUGCCUCUCCCACCCCCACCCCAGUCCUUUAGUUUGGUCACACCCAAAAGUCAAUGCAGCAUAGUUACAUCACAGCAGGGAUAGCUGGCUU